UUGACCUCGGAUCAGGUAGGAAUACCCGCUGAACUUAAGCAUAUCGAAAGGCGGAGGAA
Molecule: ribosomal RNA, 59 nt
Filed under: Fusarium asiaticum
Lineage: Eukaryota; Fungi; Ascomycota; Sordariomycetes; Hypocreales; Nectriaceae
Description: partial 28S ribosomal RNA
Source: RNAcentral